AAACCUUCCAGUCUUGACAUCCGUGACCGUUUGGAGACAUGCUUUUCCUUGGGGACACGGUGACAGUGGUGCAUGGUUGUCGUCAGCUCGUGUCGUGAGAUGUUGGUUAAGUCCCGCAACGAGCGCAACCCUUGAUCUUAGUUGCCAGCAUUUAGUUGGGCACUCUAAGGUGACUGCCGGUGACAAACCGGAGGAAGGUGGGGAUGACGUCAAAUCAUCAUGCCCCUUAUGACCUGGGCUACACACGUGCUACAAUGGAUGAUACAGAGGGUUGCCAACCCGCGAGGGGGAGCUAAUCCCAUAAAAUCAUUCCCAGUUCGGAUUGGCAGGUCUGCAACUCGCCUCCAUGAAGCCGGAAUCGCUAGUAAUCGU
RNAcentral lists this ribosomal RNA (372 nucleotides) under uncultured bacterium. Its description in RNAcentral is "bacterial SSU rRNA". It matches the Rfam family "Bacterial small subunit ribosomal RNA", at positions 966 to 1345 of the family's 1533-position model. The record is from RNAcentral.